Molecule: ribosomal RNA, 252 nt
Filed under: uncultured prokaryote
Description: partial 16S ribosomal RNA
Rfam family: Bacterial small subunit ribosomal RNA
Source: RNAcentral
ACGUAGGGGGCAAGCGUUGUUCGGAAUUAUUGGGCGUAAAGAGCAUGUAGGCGGCUAUGUAAGUCGGUUGUGAAAGCCUUCCGCUUAACGGAAGAACGGCAUCUGAUACUACAGGGCUUGAGUACGGGAGGGGAGAGUGGAACUUCUGGUGGAGCGGUGAAAUGCGUAGAUAUCAAAAGGAACGCCGGCGGCGAAAGCGACUCUCUGGUCCGAAACUGACGCUGAGUGUGCGAAAGCUAGGGGAGCAAACGG